UGUGCGGGUGGUCUAAAAAGUCCAAGAAAAAUCUAAUCCAAAAGAGCACCCAAAAGUCACGGAUGCCUCCCUUCAUUUCCUUAACAGUAUCAACGGCUGUUAAUGCUCCCAGGUCGCGCAUUGCUCGACGCGUCUGCCGUACAUUCAUAGCUUUAUCUCGUCUUAGAUUAAUAUAAAAACAUCUGUCUUUUUAUUUAUUUUUAAACAAUUAGGUAUCAUAUAAUAUAAUCAGUCUUCAUACGUGAAGAUUAUCCGUUUAUCAUCUUAAUUAGUUGGAUGUCGCAAUCUUUUUUAAUAUUUAGUCAUUGGAUAGAAAUAUACAAAGGCAUUAGACCGGUCCUAAUUCUACUUGUAUUGUUGG
Molecule: long non-coding RNA, 361 nt
Filed under: Populus trichocarpa (black cottonwood)
Lineage: Eukaryota; Viridiplantae; Streptophyta; Magnoliopsida; Malpighiales; Salicaceae
Description: long non-coding RNA (PTRI_LNC001821)
Source: RNAcentral